Molecule: ribosomal RNA, 453 nt
Filed under: uncultured archaeon
Lineage: Archaea
Description: bacterial SSU rRNA
Rfam family: Archaeal small subunit ribosomal RNA
Source: RNAcentral
ACUGGUUGAUCUGCCACACUGUAUCAGUACUACCAUGCAUUUGUCUAAGCGGGACUGGCUCAGNUAACACGUAGUUAACUUAACCUAUGGAUGGGCAUAACCUCGGGAAACUGAAANUAAUACCCAAUGGACCAAGCCUGAAUGGCUGUGGUUGAUGAUAUGCCGUAGUGAUGCGCUAUCCUUGUUGGUGAGUAAUGCCACCAGUAUCAGUACGGCUCUAAGAGGCCCGGAAUGUACUGAGACACCGGACCCAGCCCUAUGGGGCGCACAGCGAAACUUUGCAUGUGCAACCGACAGUUAAUCCGAGUGUCUCCUGCUAAGAUCUUUGUCAUUGUAGAAUCACUGGUGAAUAAGGGGUGGGCAAGUUCUGGGUUGGUCAGCCGCCGCGGUAAAACCAGCACCUCGAGUGGUCAGGAGGUUUAUUGGGGGCCCCUUUAAAAGCAUCCGUAAGCC